RNAcentral lists this ribosomal RNA (407 nucleotides) under uncultured bacterium. RNAcentral's name for it is "bacterial SSU rRNA". It matches the Rfam family "Bacterial small subunit ribosomal RNA", at positions 86 to 507 of the family's 1533-position model. The record is from RNAcentral.
AGGUACCGAGUGGCGAACGGGUGAGUCACACGUGUGUAAUCUGCCCUGCACUUCGGGAUAAGCCUGGGAAACUGGGUCUAUUACCGAAUAGGACCAUUUAGCGCAUGCUUUAUGGUGGAAAGCUUUUGCGGUGUGGGAUGGGCCCGCGGCCUAUCAGCUUGUUGGUGGGGUGACGGCCUACCAAGGCGACGACGGGUAGCCGGCCUGAGAGGGUGUCCGGCCACACUGGGACUGAGAUACGGCCCAGACUCCUACGGGAGGCAGCAGUGGGGAAUACUGCACAAUGGGCGCAAGCCUGAUGCAGCGACGCCGCGUGGGGGAUGACGGCCUUCGGGUUGUAAACCUCUUUCAGCAGGGACGAAGCGCAAGUGACGGUACCUGCAGAAGAAGCACCGGCCAACUACGUG